RNAcentral lists this small nuclear RNA (81 nucleotides) under Caenorhabditis japonica. Its description in RNAcentral is "sRNA CJA48915". It matches the Rfam family "SmY spliceosomal RNA". Lineage: Eukaryota; Metazoa; Nematoda; Chromadorea; Rhabditida; Rhabditidae. The record is from Rfam by way of RNAcentral.
UUCUUACACCUAGUGUGAACCGGGCCUUGUUGAAGACCCUAAGCACAAUUUUUGCAGCCCUGUCCUUCUUUGGUCAGGGUA